Molecule: ribosomal RNA, 460 nt
Filed under: uncultured bacterium
Lineage: Bacteria
Description: partial 16S ribosomal RNA
Rfam family: Bacterial small subunit ribosomal RNA
Source: RNAcentral
CCUACGGGCGGCAGCCGUGAGGAAUAUUGGUCAAUGGACGAGCGUCUGAACCAGCCAAGUAGCGUGAAGGAUGACUGCCCUAUGGGUUGUACACUUCUUUUAUGUGGGAAUAAAAUGUUCCACGUGUGGGAUUUUGUAUGUACCAUAUGAAUAAGGAUCGGCUAACUCCGUGCCAGCAGCCGCGGUAAUACGGAGGAUCCGAGCGUUAUCCGGAUUUAUUGGGUUUAAAGGGAGCGUAGGUGGAUUGUUAAGUCAGUUGUGAAAGUUUGCGGCUCAACCGUAAAAUUGCAGUUGAAACUGGCAGUCUUGAGUACAGUAGAGGUGGGCGGAAUUCGUGGUGUAGCGGUGAAAUGCUUAGAUAGCACGAAGAACUCCGAUUGCGAAGGCAGCCCACUGGACUGCAACUGACACUGAGGCUCGAAAGUGUGGGUAUCAAACAGGAUUAGAUACCCCGGUAGUC